UACGAAGGGGGCUAGCGUUGCUCGGAUUUACUGGGCGUAAAGGGCGCGUAGGCGGACAGUUUAGUCAGAGGUGAAAGCCCAGGGCUCAACCUUGGAAUUGCCUUUGAUACUGGUAGUCUCGAGUCCGGAAGAGGUGAGUGGAAUUCCGAGUGUAGAGGUGAAAUUCGUAGAUAUUCGGAGGAACACCAGUGGCGAAGGCGGCUCACUGGUCCGGUACUGACGCUGAGGUGCGAAAGCGUGGGGAGCAAACAGG
This 253-nucleotide ribosomal RNA is filed under the name uncultured bacterium. RNAcentral's name for it is "partial 16S ribosomal RNA". It matches the Rfam family "Bacterial small subunit ribosomal RNA", at positions 524 to 776 of the family's 1533-position model. The record is from RNAcentral.